RNAcentral lists this transfer RNA (75 nucleotides) under Flavonifractor plautii. RNAcentral's name for it is "tRNA-Ile". It matches the Rfam family "tRNA". Rfam says of the family: Transfer RNA (tRNA) molecules are approximately 80 nucleotides in length. Their secondary structure includes four short double-helical elements and three loops (D, anti-codon, and T loops). Further hydrogen bonds mediate the characteristic L-shaped molecular structure. tRNAs have two regions of fundamental functional importance: the anti-codon, which is responsible for specific mRNA codon recognition, and the 3' end, to which the tRNAs corresponding amino acid is attached (by aminoacyl-tRNA synthetases). tRNAs cope with the degeneracy of the genetic code in two manners: having more than one tRNA (with a specific anti-codon) for a particular amino acid; and 'wobble' base-pairing, i.e. permitting non-standard base-pairing at the 3rd anti-codon position. Lineage: Bacteria; Bacillati; Bacillota; Clostridia; Eubacteriales; Oscillospiraceae. RNAcentral also lists the same sequence under 1 other name. The record is from RNAcentral.
GCCCUUGUAGCUCAAUGGUGAGAGCGAUGCCCUGAUUUGGCAUAGUGGACGCCGGUUCGAUUCCGGCCGAGGGCU